AUUGAACGCUGGCGGCAGGCCUAACACAUGCAAGUCGAACGGUAACAGGAAGCAGCUUGCUGCUUUGCUGACGAGUGGCGGACGGGUGAGUAAUGUCUGGGAAACUGCCUGAUGGAGGGGGAUAACUACUGGAAACGGUAGCUAAUACCGCAUAAUGUCGCAAGACCAAAGAGGGGGACCUUCGGGCCUCUUGCCAUCGGAUGUGCCCAGAUGGGAUUAGCUAGUAGGUGGGGUAAAGGCUCACCUAGGCGACGAUCCCUAGCUGGUCUGAGAGGAUGACCAGCCACACUGGAACUGAGACACGGUCCAGACUCCUACGGGAGGCAGCAGUGGGGAAUAUUGCACAAUGGGCGCAAGCCUGAUGCAGCCAUGCCGCGUGUAUGAAGAAGGCCUUCGGGUUAUAAAGUACUUUCAGCGGGGAGGAAGGGAGUAAAGUUAAUACCUUUGCUCAUUGACGUUACCCGCAGAAGAAGCACCGGCUAACUCCGUG
Molecule: ribosomal RNA, 490 nt
Filed under: uncultured bacterium
Lineage: Bacteria
Description: partial 16S ribosomal RNA
Rfam family: Bacterial small subunit ribosomal RNA
Source: RNAcentral